Small nuclear RNA from Andrographis paniculata, 116 nucleotides. RefSeq annotates it as U5 spliceosomal RNA. The record is from RefSeq and is a predicted model, not a curated record. The transcript has a single exon. NCBI's taxonomy places the organism in Eukaryota, Viridiplantae, Streptophyta, Magnoliopsida, Lamiales, Acanthaceae.
AGCUGCGCAGUAGGCACAAACCGAAUUAUUCUUUCGCCUUUUACUAAAGAAUACCGUGUGCUUGUUGUAUUAAGUAGCAUACUCCAAUUUUUGGGGAGGUUCUUCUUUUCCAUUUU